This 1001-nucleotide long non-coding RNA is filed under the name Toxoplasma gondii VEG. Lineage: Eukaryota; Apicomplexa; Conoidasida; Eucoccidiorida; Sarcocystidae. The record is from RNAcentral.
GUGCGUUCUAGGCGCAAUUUAUGGAUUACUGUUAUCACACGUAUUGACAGGUAGAGAAAACGACUCCGAUGUUAGUAUGGUAAGUACCACCGUGCUGUGAGUCCAUUCUACACUGUGUGACUUGGAGUCUAGCUUCAGUUCGUACCUAAUUCAUGUUGCAUGCCCGACCUGUUCUCAGUGCAACAGAUUUCUCGGUGGCUCUUGUAUUUCGCUGUCAGAAAUACACUUUCAAGCUGCGCAUUUCACCCGUGUCUUCUGUUCCGGGCAACUCCAAGUCGCCACAACAAAAGCAACGUUGCCUUGGCUUCCUGCACGUGGUCGCGCGCUUUCGAGACCGGAGCGAGUUUUUCUUUGAAAAAAAAGUGGAGCAGGAAGGUGAAGUGUCGCCAGGAGAGCUUUGCUCUCCGCGUAUCGAAGUAUGGUCGCAGCAAGGCAGAAGGAAGUGAAUCCUAUGGAGCGAAAAAGCCGGUGUCUUGCAAGAUCACAGGAAAUACAGAACACGGGUGAGGGUGAGCACAGCGUAGAAGAGACUCGAGAGAUAGGCAAAACGGCGAACUAAUUUUUGAGAUCCUAAUGGUAAGAAUAAGUUCUCAAGUAUGCAUUUCUAGUUGUGGCGACAUUAAAUGUUCCCGUACUUCGAGCAUGUAGACUCUAAUAUAUGCUCAUCUACGCUACCUUUUAAGUGCAUCGCUCUGUAGGCUCGUGCUCUCUUCUUUUUCACGUAGGAACCAGGAAAGGUAGGUGUGAUUUUCUCGCAAAGAUAGCUCUGCACUGCGAUCCAUCCAGGGCAUAUCAACCAGGAAGAUUUUGCCCACACCGAGGAAACACGAGAGUUUGUGGCACUUGUGCUCACGACACUUUUUAUAGGGAAGGUCUUCGAAUUUUCGGUAAUUACCAUGUCUACCAUCUCUGUGUUACGCCGCAAACACGCCUAUUCCUCUGGAAGAAAAUCCGUGUUUUUGCUCUUUUUCUUCCUGGGGAAGUCCAAGCAUCAAUUCGCC